UUAAAAAGCUCGUAGUUGAACCUUGGGCCUGGCUGGCCGGUCCGCCUCACCGCGUGCACUGGUUCGGCCGGGCCUUUCCCUCUGGGGAACCUCAUGCCCUUCACUGGGUGUGAUGGGGAACCAGGACUUUUACUGUGAAAAAAUUAGAGUGUUCAAAGCAGGCCUAUGCUCGAAUACAUUAGCAUGGAAUAAUAGAAUAGGACGUGUGGUUCUAUUUUGUUGGUUUCUAGGACCGCCGUAAUGAUUAAUAGGGACAGUCGGGGG
RNAcentral lists this ribosomal RNA (264 nucleotides) under uncultured Ascomycota. RNAcentral's name for it is "partial 18S ribosomal RNA". It matches the Rfam family "Eukaryotic small subunit ribosomal RNA", at positions 619 to 888 of the family's 1831-position model. The record is from RNAcentral. Lineage: Eukaryota; Fungi; Ascomycota.